UGCUGUCAGUGAUGAGACCACGGAUCUUGCGUCAGGCAUGGCGCCCGAAUAAUAUGAGGAUACGUUUCCAUGCUGCCUUCCUUCUGAGACUACA
This is a small nucleolar RNA of Pungitius pungitius (ninespine stickleback), 94 nucleotides long. RefSeq annotates it as small nucleolar RNA U83B. Lineage: Eukaryota; Metazoa; Chordata; Actinopteri; Perciformes; Gasterosteidae. The transcript has a single exon. The record is from RefSeq and is a predicted model, not a curated record.